CCUACGGGAGGCAGCAGUGGGGAAUAUUGGACAAUGGCGGGAACCCUGAUCCAGCGACGCCGCGUGAGUGAAGAAGUAUUUCGGUAUGUAAAGCUCUAUCAGCAGGGAAGAAAGACAUGACGGUACCUGACUAAGCAGCCCCGGCUAACUACGUGCCAGCAGCCGCGGUAAUACGUAGGGGGCAAGCGUUAUCCGGAUUUACUGGGUGUAAGGGGAGCGUAGACGGCGAUGCAAGUCUGAAGUGAAAGGCGGGGGCCCAACCCCCGGACUGCUUUGGAAACUGGAUGGCUGGAGUGCAGGAGAGGUAAGUGGAAUUCCUGGUGUAGCGGUGAAAUGCGUAGAUAUUAGGAGGAACACCAGUGGCGAAGGCGGCUUACUGGACUGUAACUGACGUUGAGGCUCGAAAGCGUGGGGAGCAAACAGGAUUAGAUACCCCAGUAGUC
This 443-nucleotide ribosomal RNA is filed under the name uncultured bacterium. RNAcentral's name for it is "partial 16S ribosomal RNA". It matches the Rfam family "Bacterial small subunit ribosomal RNA", at positions 338 to 795 of the family's 1533-position model. The record is from RNAcentral.